UUUUCUGCUUCCACUUCCGGUGUCCUCAGUCCUCUCAAGCUCUUGGAACACAGCAAGAUGGUUUUCGGUCAGGCCUCAAGAAUUGUCGCAAGGAGGUUUUCUACCUCUGCUGUAAGAAAUAGCCAAGAAUGGCAGCAGACUGGAAUUCCUGGAACGAAUCUGCCUUUCGACAUCAACAACAAGGUGAAGCUGACAGUGUAUUUCGCUCUGUUCUUCAGCAGCGGUUUGACUGCCCCAUUCCUCAUUGCCCGUCGUCACUUGCUGUUGACGUCGGCCAAGUAAGGCGUGCCGUGGUCAGGCUGUGUCGGAGAGCGAGUGAGGUGCCUGCAGUGAGAUGAGUGUUCGCAGUUGGUUACAGGAAAGUCGUCUGCCUUGGAGGAUCCCUAAAAAGCCCAAAUUGUGGAGCCAGAACUCUGAUCAAUAUGUCAGUGGUGUAUUUAGAUCCAUAUACAAUUUGUAAAAUGUAAAAUGUGUAACGUUUCAUCUUUACAUGAAAUUUCUAGUAAAAAAAAAGUUUUGUUGGUGUUUGGCUUUUGUAUUGGCUAUACAAAAUGUACACACAAAUUGAUUUUGACAAUACAGGAAGACGUUAUACUGUAACAGUUAAUGUAGUUUUGUUUUAUUUUAUACUGUUAUUGGUAUCUUUACUGCAACUCGAAGCUCGUCAAUUUUUAAAAUUUUUUUUUUGGUAUAAACGUCUGAAGGAGUACCUGGAUAGAUUGUCGCAUAUACUUAGCGUGAAUGUCACUGGUUGAUUGUCUAAUUAUUUCUUUGUAAUAAAUUUUCUUGAGAGCAAAAUUAAA
This is a long non-coding RNA of Aplysia californica (California sea hare), 803 nucleotides long. RefSeq lists it as uncharacterized. The transcript is spliced from 3 exons. NCBI's taxonomy places the organism in Eukaryota, Metazoa, Mollusca, Gastropoda, Aplysiida, Aplysiidae. The record is from RefSeq and is a predicted model, not a curated record.